Long non-coding RNA from Armigeres subalbatus, 560 nucleotides. RefSeq lists it as uncharacterized. NCBI's taxonomy places the organism in Eukaryota, Metazoa, Arthropoda, Insecta, Diptera, Culicidae. The transcript is spliced from 3 exons. The record is from RefSeq and is a predicted model, not a curated record.
CUGUAGGAGUAAAAGGAACAAAACAACAUAAUUUCGAAACGAACGAUUUCGAAAUGUUGCAUCUCGCUCUGGCUUAUUGACAUCGAUUUUGUUUUGAGAAUUUGACAAUUAAAAAUCUGAUCGAAGCCUUUGCUGAUGUGCUCUCGUUGCACGAGAAUCCGGUUCAACAUUUCUUACGAUUUUCUGGUUUUCUUGAAGACUGCCUGAUCUGAUCCAGUGCGUGUGUUGGCCUAUUUGGAACAGAGCGUUUUUCCAAGAAGUGGUUCUUACCAGCACGGCUAACCUUGGCCUAAACCUUCCUCAGAAGUCUGGAUAAUAUUCGGAUUAGCUUGUAUGCGGCCCAGGAGACGUGCGUCAUCGACCCUUGAAGCACUUGAAGUAAUAGUUGCAUAGUGAGAGAUGUAUGCGAGGCAUUCAGAGUUUUUACUUGAAACGGACAGUUUCCAGUGUGCUGAUAUGAUUUUUCGAGAAAUAAUCUGUUCAGAUCACGACCGGGAAAUCCACUUUCACCAUUUAAAUAUGAGGACGAAGCUGACUCGGGUUAGGAGAGAAACCACCCG